UUAGAUCGAGCGGCGGCGCUCCUGAUCCGGUCGGGACAUGUAGGACGAUGGCGGCAGGGCUCCGGAAAGUGGGGAAGUCGCAGACGUCGGGGCGAGGCGGAUCAGGUCAAGAUCCAGUGCGGCGACCGGCGCUCCAUGGUCGUGGCGCCUCGGUCUCCUAGGAAGAAGAGACGUGGGAGAGAGAGGAGGUGAGAUGGGGAGAAGAGAAGGCAGAGUAAGGACAUCAAAGAUUUCGGUGGUGGCUCAGGUCGGCGGAUCCAGGUAUGUGUCCCGAUUCCUCUCCUCCCCGUAAAAAGCGUAUCUCGCGUCGUUGCUAACUGCUAGAGAUGCUGGUUCAUCCUGUGGCCAACAACAACCUCCAGGUCGCGUGAGAGUUCAGUGGCAUGGGCAUGCUCUCCCUAAUUGAUUUUGUAUCAGAGAUUUUGUUCUAGCUUGUGGGCAGCACCCAUGAGUGUUGGAAGUACACGUUCUAUAUACAUAACAGCUUCUCUGGUGACUUAGUCAUCUAAUGGUCAGAUACAAUUUUAGCAACAGUGAAUAGCCGCCCGAUAGUUUUGUUAUCUGCUUCUGAAUGUUCAUAAUGUGUAAAGCGGAUCAAUUUACUUGAGAAGUUGAAUCUGCAAAGUCUUGAGAACAUUGACUAUAUACUCCAACACUGCAGGCCAACUCUUGGUAGAUUUCUAAUGUGCUGCUGGCCACUGAAUUUUUUCUGUCGUGUAGCCGCUCCCCAUCUCAGCGUGUGCUAUCCAUGGAAGCCGGCUCCUCCACUCAAGCCCUCCUAUGCAACGCCGACGAGGAUGCUACUUCGUCUGAACCAAUCUUCACGACCACGUGCAGGUAUACACAUGUGCUCCCCUGCCACCCCUGCACUGAUUUAAGGCGAAAUCCAAUUGGGAGUUAUUGAUAGGCACCAAUGUAUUCUUGGUUCAGUUCCCCUGUCUUGUAUUACGUUGAUCCUUUUGGUAAGAUCAAACUGAACAUACUGAACAUCAUUUGCCCAAACAAGCUGAACGCCUUGUUACAUUGUUGCCCAAUUCUGUAAAAUUGAUCAUAGCACUCCUGCUAUCAUGUCAUGUUUGCUAAUACUUAUUGAGCUAUAAAACAAUGUUUUCUGUUUAUAAGCUAGCCCUUCUUAUUAUGUUUCAGAAGAUUAAUAGUACCCAUUACGUUACUAUAGUACAGUGUGAUAUGCAGAACCUGAGUUUUGGUUGCCAAGCAAAUGUUUGUGCUAAUUCCCACAAGAAAUUUGUGUUUGAAGAAUUAUUACUUUAUCAGGGAAAUAUCUUUUAUAUGGCUUCAUGAAAUCAAAUAUGACACUAGAUUUGCAGAAUGACUAAGCGGCAUAGGAAAUUGAUUUAGCACUACCUCAUUAAACAUGAAGACUUAUUCUUGAUUUUGUGUUGAUGUUUCAGAUGUAAUUUUUCUCAUAUGACAUCAGGGAUGUAGGUUGAUUGGGUGAACAAGCUUCCUGUGAAACAUCCAGAUCCCGGGGGCAGUGCCUCCGUUCAGCAUCCCACGUGGCGACAUCCUCCGACAUAAUGGAAAACACCGGCAGGGGAGAGAGCAGAGCAGGAGGGGUAUUGGGUCCAUACCAUUGUGGGCAUUGCAAGUGCCAUGAUUGUGGUUAUUACUCAUAGAAGAUUCUAUUCCUGUGAGCGGAUUAAACAAAGUUGAGUAAACAUCAUCCAUACGAGAUACAUGUGCUAAUUAAGUUUAGAGGAGAAAGUGGUUCUUUAUUCUUGUAAUUUUGGUGCAGAUGUCAUAUAGGGGCAGAGAACAAUGGUCUUUUGUGACAGCCUGUUAACUUUUUGGAGCUGCCAGGUAAAAUUUGGUACGAAUUUAUGUCAGUUCUACCUUUCCAUGAUGUUUAAUUGCUCGGUUCUUAAGGGUUUGUAAGAGGAGAUGGAUUUUGGACUACUCUAUUUCGGAUGCCAGUAACGCAAAUCUGCAGAUGAAAAAUAAAAGAGUGUGCAUGGUGUUUUUUCUUAUAGAAUACUUUUAUAUGCCUUGUUCUAUUUUGCUUCAGGUUUAGGACUAUUUGGUCUGCUACAUAAUCCAUGUUUUCAACUGCAAAAUUUUAGUUUUAUUAUUAUCAUAUUUACUAUUUCUCAGUAGUAAUACAUAACACGUCACUGGUGAAAAGCCUACUGGAAAGAUUAAUUACUCAAUAAUGUUGUCUUAAGAAUAGUAGUAUUUGGCUCAAAGUAUAGGCACUGUAAUUUUUUUGUGAAAAGUUCUAGGAAGUUUGGAGCAAGUGAUUGGCCUAUAAUCUAAUUCAUAUUCAGGCUUGCUGAGAAUUUUUUACUACGAGAUAAGUAGAUGAUCAUUUAACCCACAACGAAGAUAAAGUAGAUUAUGGUGACCGAACUGAGCACAUGCUGACUUAGUGCUUCGACCCUUCAUGUUUAUGAUUCACUAAUUCUAGUCCUUCCAUUACUAUUGAACUAAAUUCAAAGUUGUUUCUAUGUCAAUUCGGUUGCAUGCUUGCCAUAGUUUAUCUCCCUAUUUUGUGCCCUGUUGAUUAGCUAAUUGGCAUGAGAAAGAAACAUUAUGCAUCUACAUGUAUCUUAUCUCUCUGAAGUAAUAAAAUUGUAGUGAGAUGAAGUGCCCACAAAAUUGGCAUGUUUAAAUAUAAAAUUAUUUCCUUCAAUGAUGGAUGAGACCUUUUAGCUUAGCUGCCAUGUUUUUUGAAUCAUAUAUAUAUAUCAUAGAUUUGUGAAACGGACUUACAAUGCUUUAUGUUUUUGGUCCUAGACUUAUACACGGGCGUUCAUUUUGCAUCCAGCGAUGAAUAUCAUUUUUAUAUCAAAGGAGACUUUCUGAACAGAGGAACUAUGGUCUGUCAAAGAUGUCCUGCUUUUCUUUUGAGAAGCAGACAACCGAAUUUUUUUGAGGGGCAGGAAGAUUUUCUUUCGAGAAGUAUGAUAAGGAAGAUGAGUUCGUGCGUCCCUUCUGUCUAGGUCAAGUGAUUUGUUUGGGCCAAGCCGAAAUAAUUAAGAAAUAAAUAAACUAUCCCAACAAAACAACUAACCGUCUGUAACCCCUAAAAAAACUAACCAUCUAUAAAAAGUCAACACGGUAAAAUAUUUUUAAAAAUGGUCAGAGUUUUACAUGUGUUCACACUUUUCUUGGUUGCAAAAAAUACGUGCGGAAUUUUAAAAAGGUUAUAAAUUCCAAAAAAUAAUUACUAAAAAAAUUCCAUUUAGAAAUGUACAAAAAAAAUAAAACUUUUCAAAGAAAGCUCUUAAAAAUGUUCUUCUUCAAAGAAAUGCACAAAUUUUCAUAAAAAUAAUAACUGUUCUUAAAAAAGCAUUCCAGUUUUUAUGAAAAUGUUACCUUUUAUUAAAAAUAAGGAAAUUUCCGUGUUUUUUAGAAAAUAAAAAAAUGACAGACAAUCUAUUCCAAGAAAAACUAAUCUUCCAUAAAAAUAGAUGAAGAAUGCUAAGGUGGCUUCUUCACGUCUGAACGCACGGUCGUGCCCCUUUUUCGCCCGAUGCAACGCACGGGCAUUUGUACUAGUGAAUCAUACAUAUUUAGAGAGAAAUUUUUAUUGCUUGCAACAAUGACAACUUACUUGAAGGAUCUUAUUCAAUCCAUUGGUAUAUAUGGUGGACGCUCAUGGCAAAACUAGGUUUAAGGAUAUUUGGAAGCACAAGUAGUAUUUCUACUUGGUGCAAAGAAUUUGGCUAGCAUGAGAGGGAAAGGCAAGCUCAACAUGUUGGAUGAUCCAUGAAAAUAUGAUUUAUUUCAGAUGUAAGAAAACAUAACCCAUUACGUUGUCUUCCUUGUCCAACCUCAACCUUUUAGCAUGUCAUAUUUUAAUGAGUGCUCACAAUCAUAAAAGAUGUCCAAGAUAGUAUAUUUAUAUGUGAAAACCUCUCUUUCUUUAUUACUUCCUAUUAAUUACAACGAUGACCAAAACUAUGUUUGUGAACUCUCAACAACUUUUAUUCAUCAUACUCUUUAUAUGUGAAGUCAUUACUCUCCAUAAGAUCCAUAUGAUCUCUUUAUUUAUUUUUAUUCUUUCUCUUUUAUUUUUAUUUUUGUUCCCUCAAGAUCAUAGCAAGAUAAUCAGGCCCUUGACUCAUACAUAAUCUUUAUUAUAUAUAGCUCACGGACUCGAUUACAUAGAAGGAUCAUAAAGCAGAGCUCAAAACUAUAUCAUACUAAAACUUUAUUCUACUAGAUCAAAAUAUUACCAAAAGGAUUGAACUAAGAAAAAUGGUAAAGAUAAGAGUGUGAUGGUGAUACGAUACCGGGGCACUCCCCCAAGCUUGGGAGUAGCCAAGGGGAGUGGCCAUACCCGAUACUCAGUUCUUCUUUGUUGGUGAAGAAGGCGUUGGUGAUGAUGGAUAGUUGCACAUCGAGCGUAGGAGAUCCUCCAAUUAGCGGAUAAUGCCCUUGAGUGUGAUGAUAUGCUCCUUCAACAAAAUAUUUUCACUUGUGAGAUACUUGUUUCAAAUGCAAGCUAACUCAAUCGUCUUGAAAGCUCAAUCUCCAUUGGGGUAAAGAGAUUGUGAUGAGGUUGAAGGAAGUCUCGUCUACUACUACCGGAACUUAAUUCCCCAUGGCCUUCUUGAUCCCAUCAUCCUUGGUGAUCUCUAUGGGAUCUUCUCUCUUCAGCUCUAUCUUCAUUAGCCAAGCAUCGUUGCCCUCAUUGUUGGAGGAGGGAGACGACAUGUUGCCUGACCUUGACAACCCUGACAGAAAAUAGCUCGAAACAAAAACAAGAGAUAUUUGCGUGGUACGGUGAUCAAAACCUUCGGUAGAUUAUAUAAUGAAUUUUUACUGACCAAAAGAAGUAUCGUGCAAGAAAACAGAGUCCGGAGAGCACAUGAGGUGCCCACGAGGUAGGGGGCGCGCCCUCCACCCUCGUGGAAGCCUCGUGUCCUUCCCGAACUGCUUCUUAUUUUCCUAUUUUCUUAAAUAUCCCAAAACGGAGAAAAAAAAUGCUAUUAGAACUGUUUUGGAGUCGGCUUACUUACCGCAUCUCAUACCUAUUCCUUUUCGGAGUCUGAAACGUUCUGGAAAGUGUCCCUUAUUUAUUCCUCCGGGGUUACGGUUUCAAUAAUAUUAGUUUCAACAUUUAUGGGAUUACCUGAGAUAUAAUGUUUGAUUCUUUGACCAUUCACCACCCUUGGAUUUGUGCCUUCGAAGUUGUUGAUUUUUAUGGCACCAGAACGGUAGAGCUCCUCGAUAACGUAAGGGCCUUCCCAUUCAGAGAGGAUUUUUCCUGCAAAAAUUCUUAAACGAGAGUUGUAUAACAAUACAUAAUCACCUACAUUAAACUCACAUUUUUGUAUCCUUUUAUCAUGCCAUCUUUUAACUUUUUCUUUAAACAGUUUGGCAUUCUCAUAGGCCUGGGUUCUCCAUUCAUCAAGUGAGCUAAUGUCAAAAAGCCUCUUCUCAC
This 5410-nucleotide long non-coding RNA is filed under the name Triticum aestivum (bread wheat). Its description in RNAcentral is "long non-coding RNA (TAES_LNC022926)". Lineage: Eukaryota; Viridiplantae; Streptophyta; Magnoliopsida; Poales; Poaceae. The record is from RNAcentral.